GACGUAGGAGACAAGCGUUAUCCGGAUUUACUGGGUGUAAAGCGCGUGCAGGCGGCUCUGUAAGUUGGAUGUGAAAGCUCCCGGCUUAACUGGGAGAGGUCGUUCAAUACUGCAGGGCUAGAGGAUAGCAGAGGGGAGUGGAACUCCGAGUGUAGCGGUAAAAUGCAUAGAUAUUCGGAAGAACACCAGUGGCGAAAGCGGCUCUCUGGGCUAUAUCUGACGCUCAGACGCGAAAGCUAGGGUAGCAAACGGG
RNAcentral lists this ribosomal RNA (253 nucleotides) under uncultured Anaerolinea sp. RNAcentral describes it as "partial 16S ribosomal RNA". It matches the Rfam family "Bacterial small subunit ribosomal RNA", at positions 524 to 776 of the family's 1533-position model. The record is from RNAcentral. Lineage: Bacteria; Bacillati; Chloroflexota; Anaerolineae; Anaerolineales; Anaerolineaceae.